CCUACGGGAGGCUGCAGUGGGGAAUAUUGGACAAUGGGCGAAAGCCUGAUCCAGCCAUGCCGCGUGUGUGAAGAAGGCCUUCGGGUUGUAAAGCACUUUCAGUGGGGAAGAAAGCCUUGGGGCUAAUACCCUCGAGGAAGGACAUCACCCACAGAAGAAGCACCGGCUAACUCCGUGCCAGCAGCCGCGGUAAUACGGAGGGUGCGAGCGUUAAUCGGAAUUACUGGGCGUAAAGCGCGCGUAGGCGGUCUGAUAAGCCGGUUGUGAAAGCCCCGGGCUCAACCUGGGAACGGCAUCCGGAACUGGCAGGCUAGAGUGCAGGAGAGGAAGGUAGAAUUCCCGGUGUAGCGGUGAAAUGCGUAGAGAUCGGGAGGAAUACCAGUGGCGAAGGCGGCCUUCUGGACUGACACUGACGCUGAGGUGCGAAAGCGUGGGUAGCAAACAGGAUUAGAUACCCUGGUAGUC
Molecule: ribosomal RNA, 465 nt
Filed under: Vreelandella stevensii
Lineage: Bacteria; Pseudomonadati; Pseudomonadota; Gammaproteobacteria; Oceanospirillales; Halomonadaceae
Description: partial 16S ribosomal RNA
Rfam family: Bacterial small subunit ribosomal RNA
Source: RNAcentral